Molecule: ribosomal RNA, 435 nt
Filed under: uncultured Orbus sp.
Lineage: Bacteria; Pseudomonadati; Pseudomonadota; Gammaproteobacteria; Orbales; Orbaceae
Description: bacterial SSU rRNA
Rfam family: Bacterial small subunit ribosomal RNA
Source: RNAcentral
UGGGGAAUAUUGCACAAUGGGGAAACCGUAGCAUGCAGCCAUGCCGCGUGUAUGAAGAAGGCCUUAGGGUUGUAAAGUACUUUCGGUGAUGAGGAAGGUACUUGGUCUAAUAGGCCAAGUAAUUGACGUUAAUUACAGAAGAAGCACCGGCUAACUCCGUGCCAGCAGCCGCGGUAAUACGGAGGGUGCGAGCGUUAAUCGGAAUGACUGGGCGUAAAGGGCAUGUAGGCGGAUGAUUAAGUUAGGUGUGAAAAUCCCCGACGCGUCAAACUUUGGGGAAUUGCAUUUAAAACUGGUCGUCUAGAGUAUUGUAGAGGAAGGUAGAAUUCCACGUGUAGCGGUGAAAUGCGUUAGAGAUGUGGAGGAAUACCGGUGGCGAAGGCGGCCUUCUGGACAGAUACUGACGCUGAGAUGCGAAAGCGUGGGGAGCAAACA